RNAcentral lists this unclassified non-coding RNA (335 nucleotides) under fungal sp. Its description in RNAcentral is "partial internal transcribed spacer region". The stretch from base 1 to 46 matches the Rfam family "Eukaryotic small subunit ribosomal RNA", at positions 1786 to 1831 of the family's 1831-position model. Lineage: Eukaryota; Fungi. The record is from RNAcentral.
AAGUCGUAACAAGGUAACCGUAGGUGAACCUGCGGUUGGAUCAUUAAUAAAAUCCAAUUUGCGCUUUCCAGCGCAUCCAACACUAUGUGAACUGUAAUUGUCUUUGGCGGGUUGCGUUGCUUGACGCGUCUAGGGAUAUCAUCCCAAAACCCAAGCCGCCUACUGUUUGCUCAGUAGCCAGCCCGCUUGUCAAUCCUCCACGAUCAUGUGGUAGGCUUUGGCGAAAACGUACAAACAUUAUGUUUCAAUAUACUUAUUAGCCUUAUUACCUUUGUUAAGAAAUUAGCAAAACACUUAAUAAAAAACAACUUUUGACAACGGAUCUCUUGGCUCUU